CCUACGGGUGGCAGCAGUGAGGAAUAUUGGUCAAUGUGCGCGCGCCUGAACCCGCCAAGUCGCGUGAGGGAAGACUGUCCUAUGGAUUGUAAACCUCUUUUGUCGGGGAGCAACAUACGCCACGCGUGGCGUUCCGAGAGUACCCGAAGAAAAAGCAUCGGCUAACUCCCUGCCAGCAGCCGCGGUAAGACGGAGGAUGCGAGCGUUCUCCGGAUUUAUUGGGUUAAAGGGGUGCGCAGGCGGAAGAUCAAGUCAGCGGUAAAAUUGAGAGGCUCAACCUCUUCGAGCCGUUGAAACUGGUUUUAUUGAGUGGGUGAGAAGUAUGCGGAAUGCGUGGUGUAGCGGUGAAAUGCAUAGAUAUCACGCAGAACUCCGAUUGCGAAGGCAGCAUACCGGCGCUCAACUGACGCUCAUGCACGAAAGUGUGGGUAUCGAACAGGAUUAGAUACCCUAGUAGUC
RNAcentral lists this ribosomal RNA (459 nucleotides) under uncultured bacterium. RNAcentral describes it as "partial 16S ribosomal RNA". It matches the Rfam family "Bacterial small subunit ribosomal RNA", at positions 338 to 795 of the family's 1533-position model. The record is from RNAcentral.